GCCAGGUGUGGUGGCGCAUGCCUGUAAUCCUAGGGGCUUAGGAGGCUUAGGCAGGGGGAUCAUAAAUUCAAAGUCAGCUUCAGCAACAGCGAGGCACUAAGCAACUCAGUGAGACUCUGUCUCUA
This 125-nucleotide small RNA is filed under the name Marmota monax (woodchuck). Lineage: Eukaryota; Metazoa; Chordata; Mammalia; Rodentia; Sciuridae. The record is from RNAcentral.